UACAGAGGGUGCGCGCGUUGUCCGGAAUCACUGGGCGUAAAGGGCGCGUAGGCGGCCUGAUAAGUAGGGGGUGCAAUUCUGCGGCUUACCCGCAGGACUGCCUUCUAAACUGUCGGGCUGGAGCACGGUAGAGGCAGAUGGAAUUCCCGGUGUAGCGGUGGAAUGCGUAGAGAGCGGGAAGAACAUCAGUGGCGAAGGCGGUCUGCUGGGCCGUUGCUGACGCUGAGGCGCGACAGCGUGGGGAGCAAACAGG
This 253-nucleotide ribosomal RNA is filed under the name uncultured bacterium. RNAcentral's name for it is "partial 16S ribosomal RNA". It matches the Rfam family "Bacterial small subunit ribosomal RNA", at positions 524 to 776 of the family's 1533-position model. The record is from RNAcentral.